AUUGAACGCUGGCGGCAGGCCUAACACAUGCAAGUCGAGCGAGCGGCGGACGGGUGAGUAAUGUCUGGGAAACUGCCCGAUGGAGGGGGAUAACCACCGGAAACGGUAGUUAAUACCGCAUACCAUCAGAUGUGCCCAGAUGGGAUUAGCCAGUAGGUGGGGUAACGGCUCACCUAGGCGAAGUUCCCUAGCUGGGCUGAGGGGAUGACCCGCCACACUGUAACUGAGACACGGUCCAGACUCCUACGGGAGGCAGCAGUGGGGAAUAUUGCACAAUGGGCGCAAGCCUGAUGCAGCCAUGCCGCGUGUGUGAAGAGGGCCUUCGGGUUGUAAAGCACUUUCAGCGGGGAGGCGUUACCCGCAGAAGAAGCACCGGCUAACUCCGUGCCAGCCGCCGCGGUAAUAC
This 406-nucleotide ribosomal RNA is filed under the name uncultured bacterium. Its description in RNAcentral is "partial 16S ribosomal RNA". It matches the Rfam family "Bacterial small subunit ribosomal RNA", at positions 29 to 526 of the family's 1533-position model. The record is from RNAcentral.